RNAcentral lists this ribosomal RNA (658 nucleotides) under Dacryonaema rufum. RNAcentral describes it as "partial large subunit ribosomal RNA". It matches the Rfam family "Eukaryotic large subunit ribosomal RNA", at positions 257 to 944 of the family's 3401-position model. Lineage: Eukaryota; Fungi; Basidiomycota; Dacrymycetes; Dacryonaemataceae. The record is from RNAcentral.
UCGAAGAGUCGAGUUGUUUGGGAAUGCAGCUCAAAACGGGUGGUAAACUCCAUCUAAAGCUAAAUACAGGCGAGAGACCGAUAGCGAACAAGUACCGUGAGGGAAAGAUGAAAAGCACUUUGGAAAGAGAGUAAAACAGUACGUGAAAUUGUUGAAAGGGAAGCGCUUGAAGUCAGUCACGUCGGCCGGGACUCAGCCUUUACCGGUGCACUUCCCGGCCUACGGGCCAGCAUCGAUUUCGACCGUCGGAAAAGGGCUGUGAGGAAUGUGGCACCUUCGGGUGUGUUAUAGCCUCCUGCCGCAUGCGACGGUCGGGAUCGAGGAACGCAGCCUAGCUUCGGAUGCUGGCGUAAUGGCUUUAAACGACCCGUCUUGAAACACGGACCAAGGAGUCUAACAUGUCUGCGAGUGUUUGGGUGUCAAACCCGAGCGCGCAAUGAAAGUGAAUGCAGGUGGGAGGCGCGAGCCGCACCAUCGACCGAUCUGGAUCUUUAGUGAUGGAUUUGAGUAAGAGCAUAUAUGUUGGGACCCGAAAGAUGGUGAACUAUGCCUGAAUAGGGCGAAGCCAGAGGAAACUCUGGUGGAGGCUCGUAGCGAUUCUGACGUGCAAAUCGAUCGUCAAAUUUGGGUAUAGGGGCGAAAGACUAAUCGAACCAUC